RNAcentral lists this ribosomal RNA (520 nucleotides) under uncultured bacterium. RNAcentral describes it as "partial 16S ribosomal RNA". It matches the Rfam family "Bacterial small subunit ribosomal RNA", at positions 28 to 523 of the family's 1533-position model. The record is from RNAcentral.
GACGAACGCUGGCGGCGUGCCUAAUACAUGCAAGUCGAGCGGGCCUCCGGAGGUGCUUGCACCUCCGGAAGGCCAGCGGCGGACGGGUGAGUAACACGUGGGCAACCUGCCUUUGAGGCCGGGAUAACACCGGGAAACCGGUGCUAAUACCGGAUGCGUCCUCUUUCGUGCCUGCGAGAGGGGAGAAAGACGGUCUUCGGGCCGUCGCUCAAAGAGGGGCCCGCGGCGCAUUAGCUGGUUGGUGGGGUAAGGGCCUACCAAGGCGACGAUGCGUUGCCGACCUGAGAGGGUGAUCGGCCACACUGGGACUGGGACACGGCCCAGACUCCUGCGGGAGGCAGCAGUAGGGAAUCAUCCGCAAUGGGCGAAAGCCAGAUGGUGCAACGCCGCGUGAGUGAGGAAGGUUUUCGGAUCGUAAAGCUCUGUUGUGAGGGAAGAACAGCUUCCGGAGGAAAUGCCGGAGGUUUGCCGGUACCUCACCAGAAAGCCCCGGUUAACUACGUGCCAGCCGCCGCCGUAA